GCCCGCGUAGCUCAGUCGGCAGAGCGCAUCCUUGGUAAGGAUGAGGUCGCCGGUUCAAGUCCGGCUAUGGGCUCCA
This 76-nucleotide transfer RNA is filed under the name Desulfotomaculum sp. Its description in RNAcentral is "tRNA-Thr". It matches the Rfam family "tRNA". From Rfam's summary of the family: Transfer RNA (tRNA) molecules are approximately 80 nucleotides in length. Their secondary structure includes four short double-helical elements and three loops (D, anti-codon, and T loops). Lineage: Bacteria; Bacillati; Bacillota; Clostridia; Eubacteriales; Desulfotomaculaceae. The record is from RNAcentral.